Long non-coding RNA from Nicotiana tabacum (common tobacco), 822 nucleotides. RefSeq lists it as uncharacterized. NCBI's taxonomy places the organism in Eukaryota, Viridiplantae, Streptophyta, Magnoliopsida, Solanales, Solanaceae. The record is from RefSeq and is a predicted model, not a curated record.
CCUAGGCCCCUAAUUUACUAAUCAGUGGUUUUCUGAUGAUGGAUACAACCAAACGAUGCCUAAUACCUAGGGACCUAAGCCUAAAAAGCUGAAGCUAUCCGCCGCUUUUGAUAAUCAAGAAAAACCCAUCACCCGUUGUUCAUCUCCUUCAACGGCAUAUCAUAGACGACCGACCCCCUCCCAUCCAUUCUCCUUCUUCUCCACCCCUUUUCCACUGACCAAACAUUUAACGACCUAGACCUCUGAAGCCACUGGACACACACGACCCCCCUGAAGUCUUUCUUCUUCAAUCUUAACAUACGCACAGCCUUCACCACUCUCCCAUACACAGACGAAAAAUAGAGCAAGAGCUCCAAAAAAUAGUGAAGAGAACGAGAAAGGUUUAAAUUAUGGAGUCAAGCUAAGAUUAUUGAAAUCGCCGCUGUCCGGAGUGGUUUCGAGUGCGAUUCGGAAGUCGAGGUUUACGGUUCCGAUUUCAAUUCUUGUUGUCUUGUUCGUGUUCUGUCGCACUUUCAAAUUCCUACGCCGGUUUGCCCGUAUUCGUUCCUGAAUUUAUUAAUCGAAAGUUGCUUGCACUCAGGAUUUGAGGCAGGUGCAUCUGAUCACCAGUACGACGCGCAGAUUUGAUCCCUAUUUUGAGACUUCACAGUGAGCUGCCUUCUAAGCCGUCCUGCAGCAGCUGGAGUCUUCUUUAUGUUAUAUUUUUUCUGUCUAUUUCCUUUCAUACAGUGGACUAGUAUUCUUUUGUACAUUCUACUAGAACGCCCACAUAUUUGUGAUACCAGGUCUCGACACACACUAGUAGACUUAUGAUUUUGGAUA